Cricetulus griseus (Chinese hamster) is the source of this 116-nucleotide ribosomal RNA. The record is from Ensembl. NCBI's taxonomy places the organism in Eukaryota, Metazoa, Chordata, Mammalia, Rodentia, Cricetidae.
GUCUAUGAAAAUACCACCCUGAAUGUGCCCGAUCUCAUCUGAUCUCAGAAGCUAAGCAGGGGUGCAUCUGGUUAGUACUUGCUAAGGAGAUGGCUCAGCAGUUAAGACCUCUGACU